GCACACGUUUUGCAAACGAUGUUUGCUGGGGAUUGUGGGUUCCCGGAAUGAACUCAGAUGUCCCGAAUGCCGGACUCUUGUUGGCUCUGGGGUUGACGAGCUCCCCAGUAACAUCCUACUGGUCAGACUUCUGGAUGGCAUCAAGCAGAGGCCUUGGAAACCCGGCCCUGGUGGGGGCGGCUCGACCACCUGCACAAAUGUAUUAAGGGCGCAGGGCAGCACUGUGGUUAAUUGUGGCUCAAAAGAUCUGCAGAGCCCCCAGUGUGGACAGCAACCUCGGGUGCAAGCCUGGAGCCCCCCAGUGAGGGUGAGUAGCUUGUAAGAGAGGCAGUUGGGUGAAUACAGGUGGUGAUGACUGACCACAGGUCUUUAUUCUUAGCUUAUUUUCCAAAUCAGCUCAAAGAAGCCACACCUACCUGGGCAGAUAGAUUCAGCCUCAGGACCUUAUCUUCUCUUGAAAUAAGACUGGAUCUGACAUAAUAAAUCUUGUUUUAAGACCUUC
This 502-nucleotide long non-coding RNA is filed under the name Rattus norvegicus (Norway rat). Its description in RNAcentral is "long non-coding RNA NONRATT011936". Lineage: Eukaryota; Metazoa; Chordata; Mammalia; Rodentia; Muridae. The record is from RNAcentral.